AGUGAACGCUGGCGGCAGGCCUAACACAUGCAAGUCGAACGGCAGCACAAGAUAGCUUGCACUCGGGGUGGCGAGUGGCGGGCGGGAGGGGAAUGCACCGCAAUCUGCCCAUUGGUGGGGGAUAACCUCGGGAAACCGUGACUAAUACCGCAUACUACCUCCGGGUGAAGGCAGGGGAGCUUCGGCGCUUGCGCAGAUGGACGCGCCGGUGCCGCAUGAUCGAGUUGGAGGGGUAAAGGCCCACCAAGGCGACGAUCCGUAGCUGGGCUGAGAGGGUGAUCAGCCACACUGGGACUGAGAGACGGCCCAGAGUCCUACGGGCGGCAGCAGUGGGUAAUAUUGGCAGCUGGGCGGAAGCUUGAUCCAUCGAUGCCGCGUGUGUGAAGCAGGCCUUCGGGUUGUAUAACACUUUUGUUGGGGAAGAACAGCAGCAGGUUAAUACCAGGUUGUCAUGACGGUACCCAAAGAAUAAGCACCGGCUAACUUCGUG
This 490-nucleotide ribosomal RNA is filed under the name uncultured bacterium. Its description in RNAcentral is "partial 16S ribosomal RNA". It matches the Rfam family "Bacterial small subunit ribosomal RNA", at positions 30 to 507 of the family's 1533-position model. The record is from RNAcentral.